GUGGGGAAUAUUGCACAAUGGGGGAAACCCUGAUGCAGCAACGCCGCGUGAAGGAAGACGGUUUUCGGAUUGUAAACUUCUAUCGAUAGGGACGAAACAAAUGACGGUACCUGGAGAAUAAGCCACGGCUAACUACGUGCCAGCAGCCGCGGUAAUACGUAGGUGGCAAGCGUUGUCCGGAUUUACUGGGUGUAAAGGGCGCGUAGGCGGGAGAGCAAGUCAGGAGUGAAAUCUAUGGGCUUAACCCAUAAAUUGCUUUUGAAACUGUUUUUCUUGAGUGAUGGAGAGGCAAGCGGAAUUCCUAGUGUAGCGGUGAAAUGCGUAGAUAUUAGGAGGAACACCAGUGGCGAAGGCGGCUUGCUGGACAUUAACUGACGCUGAUGCGCGAAAGCGUGGGGAGCAAACAGGAUUAGAAACCCCUGUAGUCC
This 428-nucleotide ribosomal RNA is filed under the name uncultured bacterium. Its description in RNAcentral is "partial 16S ribosomal RNA". It matches the Rfam family "Bacterial small subunit ribosomal RNA", at positions 354 to 796 of the family's 1533-position model. The record is from RNAcentral.